Molecule: unclassified non-coding RNA, 21 nt
Filed under: Dictyostelium discoideum
Lineage: Eukaryota; Evosea; Eumycetozoa; Dictyosteliales; Dictyosteliaceae
Source: RNAcentral
GCGCAAGGUCGAAAAACUGAA